GACGAACGCUGGCGGCGUGCUUAACACAUACAAGUCGAACGGUGAAGCGCCUUCCUUUUUGGUGGGUGUGGAUGAGUGGCGAACGGGUGAGUAACACGUGAGUAACCUGCCCCCUUCUUCUGGAUAACCGCAUGAAAGUGUGGCUAAUACGGGAUAUUCUGGGUCUGUCGCAUGAUGGGUCUGGGAAAGAUAUUGUUUCGGUGGGGGAUGGGCUCGCGGCCUAUCAGCUUGUUGGCGGGGUGAUGGCCUACCAAGGCGGUGACGGGUAGCCGGCCUGAGAGGGUGGACGGUCACACUGGGACUGAGACACGGCCCAGACUCCUACGGGAGGCAGCAGUGGGGAAUAUUGCACAAUGGGCGCAAGCCUGAUGCAGCGACGCCGCGUGAGGGAUGGAGGCCUUCGGGUUGUGAACCUCUUUCGCCAGUGAAGCAGGCCUGCCUCGUUUGUGGGUGGGUUGACGGUAGCUGGAUAAGAAGCGCCGGCUAACUACGUG
RNAcentral lists this ribosomal RNA (494 nucleotides) under uncultured bacterium. Its description in RNAcentral is "partial 16S ribosomal RNA". It matches the Rfam family "Bacterial small subunit ribosomal RNA", at positions 28 to 507 of the family's 1533-position model. The record is from RNAcentral.